Molecule: transfer RNA, 74 nt
Filed under: Myxococcales bacterium
Lineage: Bacteria; Pseudomonadati; Myxococcota; Myxococcia; Myxococcales
Also listed under: 1 other name
Description: tRNA-Ile
Rfam family: tRNA
About the family: Transfer RNA (tRNA) molecules are approximately 80 nucleotides in length.
Source: RNAcentral
GGGCCCAUAGCUCAAUCGGUCAGAGCGGCCGGCUCAUAACCGGUUGGUCCCUGGUUCGAACCCAGGUGGGCCCA